This 493-nucleotide ribosomal RNA is filed under the name uncultured bacterium. RNAcentral's name for it is "partial 16S ribosomal RNA". It matches the Rfam family "Bacterial small subunit ribosomal RNA", at positions 30 to 523 of the family's 1533-position model. The record is from RNAcentral.
AUUGAACGCUGGCGGCAUGCCUUACACAUGCAAGUCGAACGGUAACAGGUUAAGCUGACGAGUGGCGAACGGGUGAGUAAUAUAUCGGAACGUGCCCAGUCGUGGGGGAUAACGUAGCGAAAGCUACGCUAAUACCGCAUACGAUCUACGGAUGAAAGCGGGGGAUCGCAAGACCUCGCGCGAUUGGAGCGGCCGAUAUCAGAUUAGGUUGUUGGUGAGGUAAAAGCUCACCAAGCCUGCGAUCUGUAGCUGGUCUGAGAGGACAACCAGCCACACUGGAACUGAGACACGGUCCAGACUCCUACGGGAGGCAGCAGUGGGGAAUUUUGGACAAUGGACGCAAGUCUGAUCCAGCAAUGCCGCGUGCAGGACGAAGGCCUUCGGGUUGUAAACUGCUUUUGUACUGAACGAAACGGUGAGCUCUAAUACAGUUUGCUAAUGACGGUACCGUAAGAAUAAGCACCGGCUAACUACGUGCCAGCAGCCGCCGCAG